AAAACCAAGCUCAAGUUUCACACCUCAAAACCCUACACAACCAACCCAAAAACCUGUACAACUUAUGAUUUCUCCUAUACAAACCCUUUCAGAAAUACUUCACCAGAUGGCACAAGACAACCUUCCUCAGUUCUUCCUUGAAGAUAUUUUUUCCUCUACCUUUGAGAUUGAAUCUCACAUGGACAUUGUCAAAUCAGAUGAAUCAAUUGACACAGAUGAUACUGAUG
RNAcentral lists this long non-coding RNA (227 nucleotides) under Durio zibethinus. Its description in RNAcentral is "long non-coding RNA (DZIB_LNC002179)". The record is from RNAcentral. Lineage: Eukaryota; Viridiplantae; Streptophyta; Magnoliopsida; Malvales; Malvaceae.